This 902-nucleotide ribosomal RNA is filed under the name uncultured Bacillota bacterium. RNAcentral's name for it is "bacterial SSU rRNA". It matches the Rfam family "Bacterial small subunit ribosomal RNA", at positions 58 to 936 of the family's 1533-position model. Lineage: Bacteria; Bacillati; Bacillota. The record is from RNAcentral.
CAAGUCGAACGCGAAAGUUUCCUUCGGGAGACAAGUAGAGUGGCGCACGGGUGAGUAACACGUAGGUAAUCUACCUUUGGAUGGGGAAUAACAACCGGAAACGGUUGCUAAUACCGCAUAAUGCAGCGGCACCUAAUGGUGACAGUUGUUAAAGCGGGGGAUCGAAAGACCUCGCGUCUAAAGAGGAGCCUGCGGCGGAUUAGCUAGUUGGUAAGGUAAUGGCUUACCAAGGCCACGAUCCGUAACCGGCCUGAGAGGGCGGUCGGUCACACUGACACUGACAUACGGGUCAGACUCCUACGGGAGGCAGCAGUCGGGAAUUUUGGGCAAUGGGCGAAAGCCUGACCCAGCAACGCCGCGUGAAGGAUGAAAUCCCUCGGGAUGUAAACUUCGCAAGAACGGGAAGAAUAAGUAGGGGACAAUACCCCCUAUGAUGACGGUACCGUUUGUAAGCUCCGGCUAACUCCGUGCCAGCAGCCGCGGUAAUACGGGGGGAGCAAGCGUUGUUCGGAUUUACUGGGCGUAAAGGGCGCGUAGGCGGUCAGCACAAGUCAAUUGUGAAAUCUCCGAGCUUAACUCGGAAAGGUCAACUGAAACUGUGCGACUAGAGUGCGGAAGGGGCAACUGGAAUUCUUGGUGUAGCGGUGAAAUGCGUAGAUAUCAAGAGGAACACCUGCGGCGAAGGCGGGUUGCUGGGCCGACACUGACGCUGAAGCGCGAAAGCCAGGGGAGCGAACGGGAUUAGAUACCCCGGUAGUCCUGGCCUUAAACGAUGAAUGCUUGGUGUCUGGGGUUAUAAAGUCCCCGGGUGCCGUCGCUAACGCUUUAAGCAUUCCGCCUGGGGAGUACGGUCGCAAGACUGAAACUCAAAGGAAUUGACGGGGACCCGCACAAGCGGUGGA